Molecule: ribosomal RNA, 384 nt
Filed under: uncultured bacterium
Lineage: Bacteria
Description: partial 16S ribosomal RNA
Rfam family: Bacterial small subunit ribosomal RNA
Source: RNAcentral
UGGGGAAUAUUGCACAAUGGGCGAAAGCCUGAUGCAGCAACGCCGCGUGAGGGACGACGGCCUUCGGGUUUGGUAAACCUCUUUUAGCAAGGAAGAAGCGAAAAGUGACGGUACUUGCAGAAAAAGCGCCGGCUAACUACGUGCCAGCAGCCGCGGUAAUACGUAGGGCGCAAGCGUUAUCCGGAAUUAUUGGGCGUAAAGAGCUCGUAGGCGGUUUGUCGCGUCUGCUGUGAAAACCCGAGGCUCAACCUCGGGCCUGCAGUGGGUACGGGCAGACUAGAGUGCGGUAGGGGAGAUUGGAACUCCUGGUGUAGCGGUGGAAUGCGCAGAUAUCAGGAAGAACACCGAUGGCGAAGGCAGAUCUCUGGGCCGUAACUGACGCUG